UCCGUUCUUGGACGUCGCUAAAGAAGCCUCGGCCUUCAGGCUCUCUUCAUCUCCUCGCUUUCUCCUCGUCAUAGAGAGGAGUACCUGUGGAGGUAUUCUUCUCUAGCGAUAGGCGAGGCAGCUCUGGAAGGCCUGCUGUUCACCGACCUGCAGCCAUUGCUAGCUGGGGGUUCAUCGGGGAAGGAGGAGAAGAAGAACAGAAGGAACAAUCCCUCCGUCUCGUCGAAUCAAGAAUGCCCUCUGAGCCUUGGAAUCCUUGGUCUCCGGCUGGUUUUCUUGCUCACGUUGGUUGGUCUUCUUCUUCUUGGUGGUAAUGGCCGUGAAGGUCUGCUUCAUUCUCUUUCUUUUUUUCUUUCGUUUUUUCUUCUUGGCAUUCGGCUUUAUAUGAGGAGGCUGUGAUGAUUCUUGGAUGAGGUUUUUGCUACAAUGUCGAGAGGGAAAAAAACGGCUAUUUGUAAACGGCGAGGCGAUCUUGGAUGGUCUUCUGUUGUUCUUGUGAAGGCAACCGUUUGCAGCCGUUUCGAUUCAGUUGCAGAGAUUGGUUAAUCUUUGUCUCCUCUUCCUCUUUCUCUUCUCUGCUUUUCUAGUUUCUGGUUUUCUUUUCCAAGAAUUUGUUUUUCUAGGGUUUCUUUAAUUUCUUUAAUAUGACUGGCGUCGCCUCUGAAGAAUUCAUGGCAAACUAGGGUUUCAAGAUCCCAAAUUCUCUUUUGUUUUACUAUUCUGGUUGCUGAAAACUAGAUACCGUAUGCAGUUUCCAAAAUCAAAAAAUAAAUCAUGGCUUUGGUCUCUUAGAUGAAACUGGAAAUUAAACAAAAUGAACUCCAAACUACUACACUUUAUCCUUUGUCUUGUUGGGGGUCGAAGACAGGAAGGGGAGUUUUUGGGGGGCAGGGGGUGGUGUUGUAAUUGUCAAUAAUCUUGAACUAUAGCAAUCACAUUCACAAGUUAACCUAGUAUUUGCAAAAUACAUCAUACUUUUCUCCUACUUAAUGUGAUCCAAAUUUGACCAAUGAAUCCACACAAAUACAUUUAAAUAUGAACUCAAAUAGGGUACGUACAAGGGUCUCAUAAGACGUUACAUUGUUUCUCCAGCAUAUGCAUAUAAUGGAAUGUAAAAUUACAAGCUAGGAUUCAUAUGCUGUCCCCAAUGCUCCAAGUAGAUCUCAUCCAUGUGAAAACAAAUAUGUAUUAACUUUGGAGAUGGUGAAAUAUGUAUUCUCUAUUUUAGUGAGGUUCUGAAAUUCUAUUAUUCUUCUUAAGCAUUUUCUGUGAUACACAAAUUAAAAGCCAUUCACUUACUACUCUGUCUAUCAUCUAAUGCAAGUGUUUUAUAUCAUCACCCUUCUUUAUGGGACAAGAUUAUAAGAUUUUGUUUAAAUACCUGAGAUGACACAGAUCAAUCAAGAACCCUGGGGGGUCAGUGUUAAGUCCUGAUUCCUGAACCUGCUCAGCUAAAGCAAAUGACUAAUUAACAGACCUGUCCAUGUCUUCAUUGAUUAACCUGGGAAGACUGAUGAGAGUUUGUUAAUUUAUUUUUGUAUAGUAGUAGUGUACCUCACCCGAAUUCAUGAUAACGCAGACAUUUUAGCCAUCUCAUAGCCCCUGCUAGUUGAGUUAUAAGCUCAUGCUAUCUUCGGCCCUUUUUUCUUUUUUUUUUCCCCUUUAAUUUUCAGUUGGUGAUUCAGUUUUCAAUUAAGGAGAAUAUAACAUUAGGAGGGGCGCAGUCUGUUGAGGUAUUAUUGGGAAGAGACGUGGACAUUAGGAGGGGCGCAGUCUGCUGAGGUAUUUUUGGGAGAGACAUGUGGCCUAGCGGUGAAGCUCUUAUUGAACCUGCAAAGUAGGUAGUGGCAUCCUUAGAGUAGAAGUGAUAUAAAUGCCCUUAGAAUAGAAUAGAACUUUUAUCAGUCUUAAAAGGAAAAAAAUGAUGCUUUAGUGUGUUUAAGAUUCAAAAUUUUGGACGGCAGGUGCUGAUGGGCUUGGUCCCCAAAGAAAAAAUAAAGGAUCGGGUGGAUGCAAAACUUGUUGUAGAUGGAGCCAAUGGUGUUGCUGGAGAGAGGCUAUAGAACUGAACAAAAAUGAUGAGAGGGUUGGAGUUUUACAUGAGACUGAUGCGAGAUUCAGGUAAGAAGGGAGAAGGUGUACUUAAUGAGAGAUGUGGUGCUGGUUAUGUGCAGGAGAAAGUUGUUCCAUGUGGAUUCGGAAUGGAUGAUGUAGGAAUAAGGUGCCUCCUUUUUUCUUUGCUUAGUAAGUUAGAAGCUUGAUACAUUGAGCUUGUAUUUCCUCUAAUGCUAACUGCAUAGGUUAAUCUAGUGUUUCAAGUGUGCUAGUUCUGAUGGUGAUGCUGACAGGCUUGUUAUUUAUCUGUCUUAUCACAAAGUAGCGGUAGCAUUGAUCUUGUCGAUGGAGAUAAGGUAUUAUCUCUCUUUGCAGUAUUUAUCAAGGAACAAUUAAGUAUUCUUAAUCAGAAGGAAAUGAACUAUGCAAAGAAUGCCCGGCAGGACUUGGCAUUGUUCAGACAGCAUAUGUGAAUGGAGCAUCAACAGAUUUCCUCAAGCAGCUGGGCUUGGAAGUAGUAUUUACUCCUACAGGUGUGAAAUAUUUGCUCAAGAAAGCUUCAGAGUAUGAUAUUGGAAUAUAUUUUGAGGCAAAUGGGCACGGAGCUAUUCUGUUCUCAGAAAAUCUUUUAUCUAGUUAUCAACUAUUCUGUUUAUUUGCUGCAUGAUAGUUGAGAUAAUUGAUAUAGUUCCCUCUCAUGAAAUUUUGUUGUUGAGCAACUAAAAUUCUUUGCUUCUUUACCCAGAGUAGAGUGGCUAAAUUGAACUCCAUCAGUUGUUCAUUACCAAUUUCUAAGCAAUGUCUAUGUCACCAACUGUAAUUUUAAUAUUCUUUAAGAUAUCAAUGUAUUUAUUGUCCAUAUUUAAGACCCAUCUAGAUUUGAUUGGAUGACUUUCUUCCUAGUUUCCUUCUAUUUUUGGUUUUGUGGUUUUGGUUGGGGCAAUUUUUUUUGGGGGUGGGUGGGGUGGUGGGGUUCAUAUCAUAUUGGUGAGUGAAUACAUGUUCAUAUAUAUAAGUGAGAAGAUGGUAGAAGAUCAAUUUUGUUCUUCUAGGGACAUGGAUUUUUCUAUUAGAUUAAGUUGGUAAAUUGAAGUGAUUUAGUUAUUAGUAAUCUUUAGGUAUGGGAUAAGGGUAGGAUGUCUCUAAUUAUAUUAAGGAGUUAAACUUUAAUAAGGAUUUAAAUUGUGCUCAUGAUUAGCAUAGAGUAUUUUAAAAUUGAAGUUAAAUGAAUCAAUUUUGAAUUAAAAAAUUCUGAUUUUAGUUUUGAAAUAAGUAAUUGCUUUUUACAGAUAGAUUAUUAUCUACUAAUAGAGGAUAGCUCAAUGCAUGAGGCUCCUUCCAUUAUGGGGCUUGGUGAGGGUUAGAUAUAUGCAACCUUAUCCCUACAUACAGAGGGGCUAUGUUCUUGUUUUGAAUUCAUGACCUCUAGAUCAUAGUGGAGCAACCUUACUUUUGGCCCAAACAAAAUUCGUUGUAUCGUACCGAACUGGUGGUACGGGGUAUACUGUACCGGUUCGGUACCGAUACAUAGUACGGGACUAUACCGACAUUCGGUAUGCCGAACCGGCCCCACACCAUAUACCGAGACGGCACACCUUAGACCCAAGGCUUCCUCACAGAUUAUUAUCUACUAAUCCCUCACAGGAAAACCCAUAUUUGUGACUUCUUUUUAUUAAUCUGAAGAAUCUAAAACCUGUUGUGUAUAUUGCCUAAUAUAUACAAAUUAAGAGUUGCUUUUGUUAAAAUAUUCCUUUACAGUUUAAAAAUGUGGAAAUAGAUCUGCAGCUGUAAAUUAUCUUGUGCCACAUUCACAUCAGAAUAAAUCAAGCAUCAUGCCUGAUAAAUUGAUCCUUCUAUGGUGUUAUAACUUAUUAAAAAAUUGAAGUUAGCUUUAUCUUCUAAUCUCUUUGUCACCUAUCUCCUUUUUUCCUAAGGGUGCAUCCAACAUCAAAUUAACCACACUUCCUCUAUAUAAGAUGUAAUCAGAAAAAUUUUUAUUAUGUGUAGUAGGUUUCAAUAGGAGAUUUGUUUUAAAAACUUUUUUUGUGGACAUUUUUGGGUUCACUGAUUUUUAUGAUUCUUUUUUACUAAGGUAAAUGUUGUUGUCGCUGCAAACGCAGAAACACAGGUUGUGAAAACAUUGGGACUGCAAGAAGUGAUUGAUGCUGAGACUGGUAAGCAGUUGCUUGUCUGGAAAGUACCUCCGGUUCGCAGUUGCUUGGCUGGAAAGUACCUCUGGUUUGGUUUCCUAUAUAUGGAUUGAUUUUUUAUCUAUCUUUAGAUCUUAUAUGAAAAUUCGUACCUAAUUAGUAUACUCUCUAACCCAUUUGACUGAAAUUUAGGAGAUUUUGAUGAUUAGUAUCCUAAGUUUUGUUUAACAAAUAAAUCACACUUACUGAUUCAUAGCAUUUUCUUUGCUAGAAUUUAUUGCAGCCAAGUAUACUCGAAGGCGAUGUUUUAUCCGACCAUCUUGUACAGAGGAUGUAAUACAUGUAUAUGCUGAGGCAUCCGCACAGCAGGCAGCUGAUAGGCUUGCCCACUCUGUAGCACAACAUGUUGAGCACUUUCUUGGGUUUUGCAGUCCUCACCAGUUGGCUUGAACAGACAAAUUUCCGAAUUUUGGAUGUUUACUUGACAGGUCAUGGUGAGGCAACUCUGGAAGGUCAGCUGUUUUGCAAGCAGCCAUUCUGCAGCUAUUGUUAGAUAGAGAGAUCACUACAGGGAAAGAGGAGGGGGGAAUCUUUUGCUCUGAUCAAUUCAGGCAAUGCGUUGUAGCUGUUUGAUUCAUUGCAGAUGGCCUGAGACUCGCAGAAUUUCUGGAGAAUUGGUGUAUCUGUGCCUCCACUUUCUUUCCCAUUCUAUUAAUUUCUUUACUGGUUUUUCUUGUUUCUUUUGAGAUUUCUUGAGUGAUCAGGAUUUCAUAUUGAUUUUAGUGGUGGGUGAAUAGCUGGUGGCAGAUCUCAAAAAAAAACUAGCUUCAUUAUGCAAGUGUAAAUGCCUGUUUGUAUCACAUUCAGGUAAGACCAAGAAAUGCCGAAGCGAGCCGUACCACCUGAUUCAGGCCGAACCAAGCUAACCCGGUCUCUGACGGGUUAGUUGUGCAGAAAAAAAGUUAUGGGAAAAAGAGUAAGUUGUGAGUUGUUUUUCAAUUGAAACCUCACAUCUCCUAUUGCUUGCUUGUCUUCUCAAACAAUAGGUAAGACCAAGAAAUGUCGAAGCGAGCCGUACCACCUGAUUCAGGCCGAACCAAGCUAACCCGGUCUCUGACGGGGUCAGUUCAGGCAUAUAAAACGGUUCCAACCCCGUAGGCCGGUACAAGAGCGGACCGGAUGGAACCGUUUUAUAUGCCUGAAUCAGUUGUGGCAUUUUUGGCCACAGCGCUCGUGCUGUGGCAUUUUUGGCGACUGGUUCGGUAAUUCUUGGGCAAAACAACACUGGAUGUAGGGAAGGCAAUACUGGACGGUCUGUUGUUCAGCAGACAACUGAUUUUCUGCUACUUUUAGAUAGAGAACAAGCUAGAUGGGAGGGAGCAGAAAUAUUUUUGGUCUGAUCAAUUAAAGGUUUUCUUUGAGCCUGUGAUACUAUAUCUAUUAGUGGUUUUCUUUCUCAAGCUUAUGCCUAGGCUUUUGGGAGUUUAGUUGACAAGAGCCAUCCACUCUCCAAGCCCAUGAUUCUUUGUUUUUCAUUAAUGGCCCUUGUUCUCUUUCUACUCGGUCUUCUCAUGCGGUGUUGGUUGUGUCAGUGUCUUGGUGCUUUUUUCUCUCAAUUUUUUUUUUCUAUUCUUUCUUCCCUCUUUCCUUUGCUCAUCCCAAAGGGGAAAGCGGCAUCACUCCUAGAUUUACAUGAUCAAGCUGUGAUGCUCCAUGAGACAAGGUUUACCUGCAUUUUAAAGCACAAAACAACUAUUUUAAAUGGAAAGAAAAUCUUCGAUGAUCCACAUUCAAUAUGCAACUGUUUGCAGCCAUUUGUUUAGUUUAGAGGGAACUAAUUCUAAAGAUACAUAGUGCCAGUCAAACUUGUGAAUGUGAACCUCUUCUCUUCCUCUACUUCCUUUCCUCACUUUUGUUGAAGAAUUUUGUUUUCUGGGUAUUCUAAAUGUGUUUACCAUGUUUCAUUAUUAUCAUGGUUUGUUCUAGAGGUUCCUCAAGAGUUUAUAGCAUAUGGAUGUGGAUGAAGCAUCUAGGAUUUUGGGAGCCCAGAUUCUCAAAUAUCUCAUUUUACUUGGCAAAAGUUUACGAUCUCGGGACCAAAGUGUAUGUAAGAUUUUAGCAGUUUGGAAAUUUUGUCUCGAUAUUUCUUGUUGUUUUUUCUGGACUCAUUCUUUCACUAGAAUUACUUUUCUUUGCAUAUCUCAAUGGUUUUGGUCUUUCACUCUUUUCUAGAUUCGGUUUAUCUAUUUCCCUUUUUUUCUGUGACAAACGAUAAUUUGAGAGAAUCUCCAAUGCUAUCCUUGACACCUCCAAAUAAAAUUUCAUUUGUAGGAGCUUUACAAAGUAUCAAUAAGAUGCCACAUUUUGCUUUUCUUAAGAGUGCUAUUCUAAUUUAAAUUACUUAGUGGUUGGUGGCUCCAAGAGAUUCUUCAAGUUGUUUUUUCUUUAUGUUAUCUUUUAAGUUGUUCUCUAUGUGGGCUCUGCAAGAGCUCGCAAAGAGUUCUUCGAUGGUGCCAGUAUUAAAAAGUUUUCGUUGAUCAUUGAUGAUGCUCCUGACCUGUUCAAUAUCACAGUUUAAUUCCUUGGUUCCUUAUAUAUAUGUCCACUACAACCAUCCAUGAAUAAAUCAAUAAAAAUCUAAAACUGCAUUCUUCAUAGCUGGAACAAUCUGUUUCUACUAAGGCAAGUGUUGCAGCCUAUUGGAGACCUUAUAUGAUAUCUACUAAAUAGGAAAAUUAAGCCUCCCUCCUCCUCUAACUCAACACACCUUUUCUUUUCUUACAUUUAUAUUCUUUUCUUUGUAUUCCUAAUAUUAUGCUUCAUUUUUUAGCUUGUCAACUUAUGAACUUACAUAUGUCAAGGCCAUACUCUAGACUUCUGGAUUCUUCUUUCACUAAUGGUCAUGGUGACAGUAGUGGUUUGUAUUCCUAAUUCAUUUUUCUUGAUGGAGGUAGAAGUGGCAUCUAUUUCCUUUUUCUCUUUUAUCAUUUCUAAAUUAUAAAGGCAAAGGUGAUUUCUCCAGGAGGGACGAGGCUUGUUGGUUUAGUUAUGCUUUGUGAUGGUCAAAUAAAUUCUAUUAUGAGAGAGUGAUUUGCACAUUUUUACUGCUUGCACUUGAUACUUAUAUUACACACCUAUCUACUUCUUUUGGAAAAUGCCCCAUCCCUCAAUCACCUCAUCAAAAUAAAGAAAAACACUUAAGCACCAAUAUUCUUUCACGAUUUAUCCAGUUGAUAUGCUGGGUACUGAUUUUUUUUGAAUAUAUUUUAAAUAGAUUUGGUUUCCCAUUAUGAAAAAAAUUGGUUUAAUACAUUUCUAUCUAUUGGAUGCAUGAGUUUUCCAUUAUCUAUAUAAACUCUUCAUGCAUAUACACAUGAAAGAAACAUUGUAUUUACAUGCAUAGAUGCAUGCAGCCAUCCAAAUAUUUAUACACAUUACUGCUUGGUAGGUCUGAUUUGUCUAGUUUAUUCAAGACUUGAGAGGAAGGAGCAUUUGAUAGAUGGUUGUAAUCCCAUCAAUCAUGAUAUUUGUAGUAUUUCUGAUAAAGAUACUAGUUUAGUCUAUGUACUCACAUUUCUUUAUCUUUCAUUUAUUAGCGAGUGAAUGUACAUCAAGGGAAACAUUUAUUAAGGCGGAUGCAUCUUUAUACUAGAGGGGUGCGAUGCAUGGUCCCCACAUCCACAUCCAGUUAUGCUGGUCUCUUUUGUUAUACAUAGACAUCGAUAGAUGCAAAUUUUCAUACAUAUAUAGCUAAUAUGUAUAUAACAUACACUUACACUUGACCUUUCAGCAUUUUUCAACAAUCUUGCCAUCAUUUUGGCAGCACUGUAUCUGAUCUCUAUCUAAUUCCUUCCCUACACAGUAGGUUCAACCCCAAGGGUUGCUCAUUCUCCUCUCAUCUUUAUUAGAGCAUUUAAAAUAUGUAGAAUUGUUGUAUCAACAUAGAUUCUAUUAUGCACCAUAAUUUAUUUUCUAAGAUAGAUUAUGAAUCUUUGCUCUUCAAGUUGCCCACAGCAAACUGCUUUGGCUAUAAAAGAAGCAACUCCAUUCUAUGCAUCUUGCUCUACCUAUCUUUUAAGAUAACACUAGUUCAUCUAAAUUGGAGAAACCUCCUUUCAUUUAUGGCUAUUGAGAGAAGAGCAUUUUUUAAUUUUCUUUUGAAUAAAGAUGAAAGAAGCAACCUUAUUCUAAACAAUAUUCAUCAUAAUCUUUUGUAUCUAGUGAUAAUACAAUUUCUCAUAGAAAAGCUACAUGUUCUAUCCUCUUGCACUUUCAUGUCUUACCAUGCCAUGUCAGACUGGUUUAGUAAAAUUACAGCUAAUAUGAUUUCUGUAACCUAGUAGAAGCUAAUUAAUGCAUCCAGUCUUGAUGGUUAUAUUUUUGUGAUAUGGUCAUUUUGUGGUGGGAUAUAUGGAGAUCAUCACUAGCCAUCUAGUAUAUCCAAAAAGAAGAGUCAUGGGUUGGAUCGCAUGUAAGGAGUGGAAUGAAUAGUUUGGUGCAUGGGUGGUGUAAAGUUUUAUGUGCAAGUAGGUAUUCUUGAGAUGAGGUAACAUCAAAGGGAAGGUGGAGGAUGGAGGAAAUUGGAGGAAAAUAGAACCGUCCGAUAUGGUUUUUAAUAGUUCAUUGGAGAUGGAGGCAUGGAAAAAAUUGGAGAACAGGAAAUUGUAUUAGCAGAUAAGAGACUAUUAAUGAUCAUGUAGGGGAGGGUGUGAGGUGUAGGGGAGGGUGUGUCAAAUGGAUCGAAAUUGAAGCAUAAGAGUCUUGGAUAAGCAUCUUUCUGCAGUAAUUGUUUGGGUUCAUGGGCGAGGGGUUACCAGCCUAAAAUUGAUUUCUGAUUAAAGCAGUUAGAAGGAUAGUUCUAAUUGAAAUUUUGUGGUUCAUCUGUGGAGUGUGAAAGAAAGCGAAAGUUUUAGGUGUUUUAAUUUGCAGUUUGGAGAUUUUGAAGAUGGGUCUAUAAUGUAGGCUAGCUUAAACUACUGCACAAAACCUGGGGUUAAGUAGUAUAAUUUAAGGCAAAUGGCCCAAUUCUGACAUUCAAAGGGUUGACAAAUGUUGCGAAUUUAGGUAGGUUAACUCAGGGUUUAGGAGAGAAUGAAACAAGUAUUAAAUAUGAAGUCAAAUUGGGGGAAAUUUUAUUACAAAUAGAUUAUGGGGGUCCAUUUGUUGAAAGUUUGAAUGACAUGCUUUUUGGUCAACCCUCUAUGGUUAGGGUCUAGAUAAUGUUAAGGCAUAGUAGAGGUGUAUUGUUUGGGGGCAAAGUGGUAAAGUUAUGUUAGAAGGUUAAGGGUUCAGUCAUGUAGGCUAAGAUCAAUGAUAGCUUUACAUGGAUGCCUGGAGCUAAAUAAGGUGAGUGGUGAAUAACCUCAUCUAGUUUUGUUGUGUUCUUUUUGUUUUCUCUUCUCGUCUUCAUACGCGCAACAAAAUCAAGUUUAUCAAAUAACAUCUCUAUUUUUUUUCCCUUUCUUGACUUUCAUCUCUCUCUCUCCCCUCAUAUGAUCCUCUACUUUUUGAUACCAUUGUGGAAGCUGCAUUAGAUCGCACCUACACAGUUAAAGCAGAGAAGCAGUAGCAGCAGUCUAACAAGCUACAACGUAGAACAUCAUAUUUUCAGAUUAAUUCAAUACAAUUCAGAUAUUAGGUUAAAUUCUAAUUAUCUGAUUGCUUGACCAGAUUAAUUAAUUCUUUCUACUUCAUUUGUUCAUGCUGACCUUAUAUUCUGGUUGUAUGUGGUUCUAAUCUUAAUCAAGUACAAAUCUGUAUCAUGUAAGU
Molecule: non-coding RNA, 9974 nt
Organism: Phoenix dactylifera (date palm)
Lineage: Eukaryota; Viridiplantae; Streptophyta; Magnoliopsida; Arecales; Arecaceae
Source: RefSeq, a predicted model, not a curated record